ACUACGGGUGGCAGCAGUGAGGAAUAUUGGUCAAUGGACGGAAGUCUGAACCAGCCAUGCCGCGUGCAGGAAGACGGCUCUAUGAGUUGUAAACUGCUUUUGUACAAGGGUAAACCUGAAUACGUGUAUUCAGCUGAAAGUACUGUACGAAUAAGGAUCGGCUAACUCCGUGCCAGCAGCCGCGGUAAGACGGAGGAUCCAAGCGUUAUCCGGAUGUAUUGGGUUUAAAGGGUGCGUAGGCGGAUUGAUAAGUCAGAGGUGAAAUGUCCGGGCUUAACCCGGGAACUGCCUCUAAUACUGUUGAUCUAGAGAGUAGAUGCGGUAGGCGGAAUGUAUGGUGUAGCGGUGAAAUGCUUAGAGAUCAUACAGAACACCGAUUGCGAAGGCAGCUUACCAAUCUAUACCUGACGUUGAGGCACGAAAGCGUGGGGAGCAAACAGGAUUAGAUACCCCUGUAGUC
This 460-nucleotide ribosomal RNA is filed under the name uncultured bacterium. RNAcentral's name for it is "partial 16S ribosomal RNA". It matches the Rfam family "Bacterial small subunit ribosomal RNA", at positions 338 to 795 of the family's 1533-position model. The record is from RNAcentral.